Molecule: ribosomal RNA, 460 nt
Filed under: uncultured bacterium
Lineage: Bacteria
Description: bacterial SSU rRNA
Rfam family: Bacterial small subunit ribosomal RNA
Source: RNAcentral
AACGAACGCUUGCGGCAGGUCUUAUACAUGCAAGUCGAGGGUGAAGGGCACUUGUGCCCGGAAACCGGCGAACGGGUGAGUAACACGUGGGAACCUACCCAGAAGUGGGGGAUAACCGUUGGAAACGACGGCUAAUACCGCAUAACACUCUACGGAGGAAAGCUUUAGCGCUUUUGGAUGGGCCCGCGGAAGAUUAGGUAGUUGGUGAGGUAACGGCUCACCAAGCCCGCGAUCUUUAGCUGGUCUGAGAGGAUGGUCAGCCACACUGGAACUGAGACACGAUCCAGACUCCUAUGGGAGGCAGCAGUAGGGAAUCUUGCGCAAUGGGGCGAAAGCCUGACGCAGCCAUGCCGCGUGAGUGAAGAAGGCCUUAGGGUUGUAAAGCUCUUUCGACCGCGAGGAUGAUGACCGUAGCGGUAAAAGAAGCCCCGGCUAACUUCGUGCCAGCAGCCGCGGUAAU